This 218-nucleotide unclassified non-coding RNA is filed under the name Hevea brasiliensis (rubber tree). Lineage: Eukaryota; Viridiplantae; Streptophyta; Magnoliopsida; Malpighiales; Euphorbiaceae. The record is from RNAcentral.
UCGUCUUUUUCUUUUUUUGUCUUUUCUUUUCUUUCUUCCCUUGUACUCUCCCAAAAAAAAGGACCACUAAAGCUAAUAAUAAGUGAAAAUGGAGCUUAUAAGUGCUCUUGACUCUUGAUUUAAUUUAUUUUGGUUUUGUUGUAUUUUGAAGUUGACGAAGCCCAUAAAGAGAAAAACUUUAUGUAUAUCUGAUAGGUGAAAUUAUCAAAGUCCAAAAG